RNAcentral lists this long non-coding RNA (302 nucleotides) under Sinocyclocheilus anshuiensis. RNAcentral describes it as "lncRNA (ENSSANG00000025773.1)". Lineage: Eukaryota; Metazoa; Chordata; Actinopteri; Cypriniformes; Cyprinidae. The record is from RNAcentral.
CGAGCCGUGCCCGUGCACUGUAUUUUUCGGGUUGUUGCGUGACGAGGUGCCUGGCCGCGGAGCGCAAAGCCCAAAGACUACAAAUUGCGUAUGAGGCUUAACAAAUUCAGAGAGCCACUAAUCAAGGAAAUGUUAGAGCAAAGCUACACACCCACCGAGGCUGCCGGAUACCGCUUUGACUGGGCGGCGAGGGACAGUGCUAACAGUGGUAGCGUAGCGCUUGACGAAUUUGCCAUCAUGACGGAGGGAGCCACAGCAAAGUAGGUUUCAGUGGACAGAUGGAAGGCAGCCAUCAUCUGCAC